GGGUUGUGAGGUUAAGCGACUAAGCGUACACGGUGGAUGCCCUGGCAGUCAGAGGCGAUGAAGGACGUGCUAAUCUGCGAUAAGCGCCGGUAAGGUGAUAUGAACCGUUAUAACCGGCGAUUUCCGAAUGGGGAAACCCAGUGUGACUCGUCACACUAUCAUUAACUGAAUCCAUAGGUUAAUGAGGCGAACCGGGGGAACUGAAACAUCUAAGUACCCCGAGGAAAAGAAAUCAACCGAGAUUCCCCCAGUAGCGGCGAGCGAACGGGGAGGAGCCCAGAGCCUGAAUCAGCAUGUGUGUUAGUGGAAGCGUCUGGAAAGGCGCGCGAUACAGGGUGACAGCCCCGUACACAAAAGCGCAUAUGCUGUGAGCUCGAUGAGUAGGGCGGGACACGUGGUAUCCUGUCUGAAUAUGGGGGGACCAUCCUCCAAGGCUAAAUACUCCUGACUGACCGAUAGUGAACCAGUACCGUGAGGGAAAGGCGAAAAGAACCCCGGCGAGGGGAGUGAAAAAGAACCUGAAACCGUGUACGUACAAGCAGUGGGAGCCCCACCACUAAGCCAGUGGUGAACUCCACAUACGCAUCCUUUGCU
This 594-nucleotide ribosomal RNA is filed under the name Salmonella enterica. Its description in RNAcentral is "partial 23S ribosomal RNA". It matches the Rfam family "Bacterial large subunit ribosomal RNA", at positions 1 to 589 of the family's 2925-position model. The record is from RNAcentral. Lineage: Bacteria; Pseudomonadati; Pseudomonadota; Gammaproteobacteria; Enterobacterales; Enterobacteriaceae.